UUUUGCUUUCCUUUCCCUACUAGCAAAUGUCUUUUCCUUGUGCGCGAUAUGAGGCAUGUUCACGAAACAGCAGAUCAUGAAGCUGUAGAAGAUCCUCUUUUUCACAGGAUUCUGCCAGCUGUAAAAGGGAACAUGUAACUUCUGUUGAAUUUAGGGGAUGAUGCUCCACAGAAAUCUACCCAGGGUACCAUUCCAGUCCUCCUGGGAGCCCAUUUUGAACUCACCACACAAAGCCAAGGAACGAACAAGCAGAAAGCAAAUGGAGAGAAUGUCUGACCCGCAGAGCCCGGAAAAGACGUUGCUGUUGUCCAGGUCACACGGCUGCCCUUCCGAGUUGCCGCACUCGUAACAGCAGCCGCAUCUGUCCAGAACCAGCCCGGCUCUGCAGCCCACCGCCUCCGGGCACUGCUGCGGCACACACCGCUCACACUCCGUCCCAUUCCUGCCCGUCCUGCCUAUGGAGUAGACUUCAUGUGUCUUGUCUUCAUUCCUAAAGCUUUUUGGGUUGGGGGUGGGGGGUCUUUCGGGUGCCUCCCGUUCUUGUUGGCGCACAAAACAAUAACAGAACACGCAAGAUGCAUUUAAACAAAAGCCUAUGAAAAGCAAAUGAUCGAAAAGCUUCUUUAAACCUCGGACGCAAAUCUAGACUGUAAAAUCCCGGGGAAAUAAAGUCAACAGGAAAUCUUUUAUCUUUCGCCCUCUAUCGAUGCCCAUCCCACAGGAGACUGGUCUUGUUCCUAGGCUUGAAAUGCUUGGGAAAAGUUUCCCAGUUCAUCUGUAUACUAAUCUAUUUAAGACAGUUGGUUGUACGAUUCGAAGCUCAAACUAACUCGAACUCAAACUAAACGUAAACCUUUGCCUCUCAUGUUAAUUCCAUUCUAUGGAUUUAUUGACGUGGUCUGUGUGUUUAAUAUUAGCGUUAUGUGCAAAAUAGUACACGAGGUCCAGUCAAUUCAGAAAUGCAUGUCGUGGCAAGCUUGAUAUUCAUAAUCAUAACCACACGAUGGCAGCAACACACAGGACUACAGAUGCGGUACAACAUAAAAUAAGUGCCAGUUGUCUCCUUUGUUUCCCUUACUUGUUUGCACUUACAUUUGGCACGAUUUUGCUUUGUAUUUACACGUAUUGGGUUAGAAACGAUCCCAAAAAUGUAGGAGUUUGAUUACAUUAGAACUGGCCGCAUUAAGUCUUUUAUUCCUUUCUAUCUACCUUUUAUAAUUUCCUUAGCAUUUUAGAGUGUUUUUAAAAAGUGAUGUUUCAAAAUUAUAGACUUGAAUGUAGGACAACAUUCAAGGAAACUCUUUAACCGUGCAUACAACUUUUUUUUUCUAAUUUUCACAAAAAAAUACACUCAAAGAUAUAUUUUAAAGAUUUGAAAAUAGUACUUUUUAUAAUGAAAAAUCUUCAGAAAAGGUCAUACAUGCAGAUGUUGAAUUCAAAGCACUCUCUCCAUGGGAUCCAAAGACAUACUAUAUCCCAAAUCACUGUAAAAGUAUGGUUGUACUAGUUGUGAGUCUAAUUUCUUAUGUCUUAUACGUCUCCUGCUUAAUACACAAUAUCACUCAUGGCACUUUUCAGCCACGAACCUCCUCUGAUGUUUGUGCAAUCAGUCUCCUGCUUGAAGCCACAAGCAGCUUUACAGGCUCUAUUGAGCAAAAGCACAGAUCUGUAGGGACUCGAAUGAAGGCAACAGAUGUUCCUGCAGAGCAAGGAAACACAAUGACCUGGUGGUUCCAGCAGGUCUCUGAAGAUGGCAAAGCACGUUACUUUGACUACUUCUCUUGAUAAUAUCAAAGAAUAUAUUUCAUGAUUAAUGAUACAUUAGAUAACUAUAGAACCCACUUACUAUGCAUUCAAAAUGAUCUUUUGAUGUAUUAAUGCUAAAAGAGACCUGCUUAGUAAUCCGGGCCGAGGCAUAUUUAAGUUGAGGAAUUACUAUGUUUAGGUUCAAGUAGAAUCUUAAUUGGGUUGCUUUGUUAGAUAUAUAGAUAAUUUAUAAAUCUGUACUACUAGGAAAUAAAUCCGGUCACACAUUCUAUGUGUGUGUCUUUCUGUAUAAAAGCAUAAAAUGUGACAUUUUAUUAGACAAGUAAUAUAUGACUUUUAUAAGGCCAUAAGAACAUAUAAUGGAAAUAUUAAUUCAAGCUGCAUUGUGGUGAUUCUGUUGUGUUAUAGAAUAUAGGCGUGACACCGUGCAGCUGGAGUAUGAAUGGAGUACAAAGCAAAAUUAUGAAAUUUGUUAUGUGAUUUGCAUGGAUACUAUGUGAAGAGAGUGUGUGACCAGUAAACAGAGGAAACGAGUACAACUGCGGUUUAUAGUAGAUAUAUUUAGCAAUGCAUGAGCUGCCAGAUCUAUGAGCCCAGCUGUUUUGCUAUUAGCUUGUUUGUAGUCCUUCUUAACAAUGUUUAUUCAGUGUAAUUAUGUUUCUUUAUUGAAGUGCGAACUGUGGGACAAAACACACGAAGACCACUUGUAUAAAUCCAGUUCUGUCACUGGAAGAUAAUAUUCAUUUGAACAAUCAUCAUAGGCAGUUAAAGACAUGUUUAAAAUUUUAAUUCUGUUAGAAACAUAAUAUCAAUUCUGCACUCAUCAACGACAGGCUGCUCUUAUGGGACGUUUCGGAAUGACUGGAUCGUGGUAAUGUUCUGUUCUUUUAGUUACGGAUCAUAUGCAGGUACCUGAUGAUUAUUUCUUCUCUGGUGAAAUCUCAGUUAUUUUGACAUUUUCGGCUAAUGCAUGUAUAAUGGUGUCAAAUCUAUUUAAAUCGUUUAAAAUGCUUAACCCAGCCAGGUGCACCGUACGAGCCACGGACCCAUUUGGAAGGAUCUGGACGAAAACGCCCCACUGGGUUAGGUACGGGCGCCCUCUAGCGUGUGAAUUGGCAGACCGGCGAAAGCAUAGGCGGGGUCACAUUCGCGUGGCGUUUAUAGGGUUACCGGACAGGUGCAUGAUUUAAAUACGGGGCUCAAACUGCGCUAGUAUUUACCUCACAUAACGUGUACAUGUGUUUAUCUUUUCUUAAAUGGCCUUGAAAUACAGGGGAGGACUUACUAUAAGGCAAAUGAUUAGUCAACUGCCAUUAGAGACCCUCUGAAGACAAAAAGUUACAUUUCUGGAUAUAAGACAAUAUAAUCAUUUUUAACCCAUACAAGUUGUUUUAUUUUGGUAUUUUAUCAUAAGCACAGCAGUGCAAAAUGGAUUUAUGCAAGCCUAUCUGGAAAGACACAAUGGGGAAACCGAAUCUGAAAAUGGGAACUAUUAUCCACAAUGACUUUUCCUGAACAAAAAAAGUUCAAACGUUGCCUGGGAUGUUGAUCUCCACUUGAGAUGUGGCAUAGUCUUGGGCUACAGAAGAGGCCAAAGGUAUUAAAAACUGACUGAGAAGCAGAGUUUGAUACGGCAGUGCGGACAGCGCUUGGCAAACUUUGCAGGGAGCGGGAAACCUGACUGGAUCCUCUAACACCAGGAAAGUGGCUUUUCUGUGGCACUAAUGUUCUUCUGCCGCUGUAGCUCUUGGUCAGAGGCAGCAAAGGUCCCAUGCUAAGUGCCCCCCAGGGAGGCUGUCACGCUGGGUAUGUACCCCUCUCAUUGCCCCAAUGCACAUUUUCCACCCAUGCUGCAUGGUGUGUAGACUUUGAGUU
Paramormyrops kingsleyae is the source of this 3642-nucleotide non-coding RNA. The record is from RefSeq and is a predicted model, not a curated record. NCBI's taxonomy places the organism in Eukaryota, Metazoa, Chordata, Actinopteri, Osteoglossiformes, Mormyridae.